RNAcentral lists this ribosomal RNA (452 nucleotides) under uncultured Oomycota. Its description in RNAcentral is "LSU rRNA". It matches the Rfam family "Eukaryotic large subunit ribosomal RNA", at positions 326 to 628 of the family's 3401-position model. Lineage: Eukaryota; Oomycota. The record is from RNAcentral.
GUGCGAGACCGAUAGCGAACAAGUACCGUGAGGAAAAGAUGAAAAGGACUUUGAAAAGAGAGUUAAAGAGUACCUGAAACUGCUGAAAGGGAACCGAAUCGUAUCCAGUGUCUAUAAUCCAUGGCAUAUUUCAUUGGCGAAUGAGUGCGUGCGGCGUUUUGGAAGUGGUUUCCGCUCCUGUCGUUGCUGUGCAUUUUUUUGCUGGUGCCCUGUGCUGUGGUGGGACGUCAGAGUCAGUUUGUAUGCUGCGGGAAAUGGUUAUUGGGGAGGUAGGUCGCUUCGGUGGCUGUUAUAUCCUGGUGACUAGUCGUCGUGGCUGAGACUGAGGUGCCUACAAUGUGCUUUCGAGUGUGCGGGUUUCUCGUGUGGCUGUUUGCUUUGAUAGCUUGCUAUGUUGGUGAAUAAGUUGUGCGAUUGAGACCUGUAUUAACUUGUUGCUGUUCGGGACUUUG